This 556-nucleotide small RNA is filed under the name uncultured Fusobacterium sp. RNAcentral's name for it is "bacterial SSU rRNA". The stretch from base 1 to 341 matches the Rfam family "Bacterial small subunit ribosomal RNA", at positions 1194 to 1533 of the family's 1533-position model. The record is from RNAcentral. Lineage: Bacteria; Fusobacteriati; Fusobacteriota; Fusobacteriia; Fusobacteriales; Fusobacteriaceae.
CAUGCCCCUUAUACGCUGGGCUACACACGUGCUACAAUGGGUAGAACAGAGAGUCGCAAAGCUGUGAAGUGGAGCUAAUCUCAGAAAACUAUUCUUAGUUCGGAUUGUACUCUGCAACUCGAGUACAUGAAGUUGGAAUCGCUAGUAAUCGCGAAUCAGCAAUGUCGCGGUGAAUACGUUCUCGGGUCUUGUACACACCGCCCGUCACACCACGAGAGUUGGUUGCACCUGAAGUAGCAGGCCUAACCGUAAGGAGGGAUGCUCCGAGGGUGUGAUUAGCGAUUGGGGUGAAGUCGUAACAAGGUAUCCGUACGGGAACGUGCGGAUGGAUCACCUCCUUUCUAAGGAGUAUAAGUCUUUCUCUAUUCUAUUGGUAAUGUUCUUUACAUUACUUCUGAACAUUGGAAACUAUAUAGUAGAACAAACAAGAAAAAAAUUAACUCUAACAAUUUCUUAGAGUUAGCUGUCAAAAAAUAGGUUAAAAUAAUUAAGGGCACACAAAGGAUGCCUAGGUAGUAAGAGCCGAUGAAGGACGUGGUAAGCUGCGUAAGCCUAG